Molecule: ribosomal RNA, 254 nt
Filed under: uncultured bacterium
Lineage: Bacteria
Description: partial 16S ribosomal RNA
Rfam family: Bacterial small subunit ribosomal RNA
Source: RNAcentral
UACGUAGGGUGCGAGCGUUUGUCCGGAAUUAUUGGGCGUAAAGGGCUCGUAGGCGGUUUGUCGCGUCGGGAGUGAAAACCAGGUGCUUAACACCUGGCUUGCUUUCGAUACGGGCAGACUAGAGGUAUUCAGGGGAGAACGGAAUUCCUGGUGUAGCGGUGAAAUGCGCAGAUAUCAGGAGGAACACCGGUGGCGAAGGCGGCUCACUGGCCCGGUACUGACGCUGAGGUGCGAAAGCGUGGGGAGCAAACAGG